GUGCCUAAAACUAACAGUAAGGAAAACCGUACAACCUUGCUAACAGCUCGGUUGAUGUGCUUCAAGGCAGUGAAGUGGAUUCUCAUUUCAUGAAGCGCCAAUUUUUGAAUGGGCACAGGUCGUCCCUUUGAACUCAGGCGCACUCACUACUUUUCGAGGCGUAGAGUUUGGGUGAAGCGAUCUGCCCG
Small nuclear RNA from Bactrocera dorsalis (oriental fruit fly), 188 nucleotides. RefSeq annotates it as U12 minor spliceosomal RNA. The record is from RefSeq and is a predicted model, not a curated record. The transcript has a single exon. Lineage: Eukaryota; Metazoa; Arthropoda; Insecta; Diptera; Tephritidae.